CCUGGCUUGCCCACCUCUCACUCCCUGUAGGAGUACAGAUGAUGGAGCUCAUGAAGAAGUUGCCAAGGACUGACCACAAACAUUGGGUGACAGGCAGGACUGGCUCUAGCUCGGCCCACUGAGCUCCCAUCUCUGAGAGGAGUAAGGCCAAAGGAAGCUAAGGCCCGGAGACUCAAGAAAAGAUGAGGAAAAUGGAUGAUAUGCAGGCAACCCCACAUUUCGUACAUACCGGGAGCCACAAAUGCAAGGAUCUAUGGGAACCGCUAAUGAGUCACAGAUCUGCAUCUACAGAGAGGGCAAAGGACGGAAAUGGAUGUCCCAUGCCGCUGGUGGGAAUGAAAAUGAAGUUGCGAGUGCGUACUCUGUCCAGGGUCCAGCUUUAGAAGUUCCUGUAACAGCCAUCUCUAGACACGGAGACUUAAUAUCCUCCUGGAAUGAUAUUUCUUACACAAGUCCGUCAUUUGAAAGGGAUAUUUCAAGAGCAGGGGUAAACCUUUGUGUUUACCAGGAACAAAAAGUGUCAGCCUCUCACAGGAAGGAGUCAGUCUACACAUCUGGGGACGGAACACCUGAGUGUGACUCAGGGAACUGACUGCUGGGGAACAAAGAAAAGGAGGUCAGAGUGGGCCCUUUUGGCACAGACCUGUAAUCCCAGCACUCUCAGAGGCUGAGGCAGGAAGGUCACAAGUUGGGGCCCAGCCUGGGCAGCUAAGCAGCUUGGGGAGAUCUCAAAAUAAAAAAUAAAAAUAAAAAAAGCUGAGACACAGCUCAGUGUGAGGGGCCUGGGUUCAAUUCCAAAAAGAAAACACAUACACACACACACACACACACACACACACACACUCACACACAAAGGAGAUGGAGAAUGGAUGCUUCAUUUCAGCCCAACUGACACAUUUUUCUUAGUCCUUCUUGGCCAAGAUUUGUAAAUGAUGACUAUCAUAGCUGAAUAACGUAUUUCCUGCAAUUCCUUUUAUAUAUUCAGCUCAUACACAAACAACUGCUUUGGUAGAAUAGAGGCAGAGUCACCCCAUCACAAGUCUCAUCCUUUCAAUCCCCCAGAUAGACUGGUGAGGCAAGAAAGGUUCAUCUUGGGUCCCAGUGUCUUUGAUAGCUUCCUUAUGAUAUGGUACUUACUGUGUUGUACUGAAGUUCAAUCCUUACUGUCUGCCUUCCCAAUUGUACUGUGCAAUAAUGACCCUGCAAAUAGUGACCUUCAUUGGGCCUUAAACAUAGUAGGUAUUCAAUAAUCAUCCCCUGAGUAAGUGAACUCAUUAUUCUCUCUCUGAACUGUUUCCAGUGCAGUAGUUUCCAACAGGGUGACGUUGCCCUCAGAGGACAUUUGGCAAUGUCUGGAGACAAUUUGACUAUCACCACUGGGCUGCUAUUGAAAUCUAGUGGGCAGAGGCCACAGAUGCUGCUAAAUAUCCCAUAGCACACAGAAGAGCUCCCCACUGGAAGAAUUAUCCAGCCCCAAGUGUGAAUAGUGCUAAAGUAGAGAAGUCCAUAUCUAAAGGGAUCUUGUAAAAGCCCAGAAUGGGGAUGAAUUUUCCUUGUGGCCGGUCUUAAAUGUCACCACCAGACCUGGCAUCGUGCAACUCCUGGCUCUUCCACAGAGUAAAUAUGACCUUGAGAGAUAAAUGUUAUAAAUCAAUUCAGGACGUCUAAGCAGCCAGGACACACAGUUAAAGACAUUCAUGAAAAGGACUUCCAGAACUGCUUCAGAAAGUUGCAAGGAUGAUGGGGUAAGUGUGUUUGAAGUGAAGGGGAAUAUUCCAAGGAGAUUAACAGCAAUGUAGCUUUUGCUCUAAUAAAUGUUUUACAAUUUAAGCAUUAACUAUAUUUUCUGAUUACAUUUUUAUUGUUUUUCUUGCCCAGAAUGCCACGGGCUCAUUGUACAUAGAUGGAUUUGAGAAUGCUUUCCAUUUAGUAGAGAGCUUUCUGCCAUGAGAAAACCCACAAGAUGAUGGCAGGGCUGAAACAAAAUGUGGUACAACAUAUGCUUCUGGGGUUGGAAGUGUAGUGGGACUUGAACUGUGUUCCUCCAUUAAGUUAAUAUAUUGAGGCUCUGACUUCCAACAUGACUGCAUUUGGACAUAGGGCUCAAGGCAGUGAUAAAAGUGACAUGGGGCCACCUCUGAUAGACUGGUAUCCUUAUAACACCAGGGAGAUACUUGAGCUCUCUUCCUCUGCUGCAUGAGGAUGAGAAGGAGGCCUCUGCAAGCCAGUGGGAACCACCUACCGGAGCCUGAGUCUGAUGCAGCCUUCAUUUUGGACUUUGAGCUCCCAGAAAACACAGCUUUGGAUAUUUAAGCUGUGUACUGUGUGUUAUUUUUGUCAUGGCAGCCUGAACAGACGAGGAUAGUUGUCCCAGAGAUAUUGGAUCCUAAUCCCUGGAACUUGUCCAUGUUAUCUUAUUUAGAAAAAGAGUCUUUGCAGAUGAGAUUAAUGAAAGGUUUCCAGAGGACAGAAUCGUCCUACGUUACUCAGGUGGGCCAAUGUGAAAAUUAAGGCAGAGGUUGAAUAGAAUUGGCAGCAGCUACCAGAAGGUAAGAAACAUAUCACCACCUAGACCUUUCAGAGGAAGGGUGGCCCUGCCAAGACCUUCACGCC
Long non-coding RNA from Fukomys damarensis (Damara mole-rat), 2613 nucleotides. Lineage: Eukaryota; Metazoa; Chordata; Mammalia; Rodentia; Bathyergidae. The record is from Ensembl.